RNAcentral lists this long non-coding RNA (1526 nucleotides) under Canis lupus familiaris (dog). RNAcentral's name for it is "lncRNA (ENSCAFG00845012962.1)". Lineage: Eukaryota; Metazoa; Chordata; Mammalia; Carnivora; Canidae. The record is from RNAcentral.
GGACUAGGGCCUCCCUCUGGGGCCCCACACCCAUGCUGGCAAGCAUCAGGAGCAGGGAGAGGCCCAGAACUGUCACUCCCUGGGCACAGUCCCACAGUGUCCUCAACCGGACAGUCCUGUUCUGCCCUUUCUCCUGUGGGGAGGAGCUGGAGGCAGAGAAGAAGGCAGGGCCCAGACCUGGCCAGAGGCAUUGUGCUGCCAGGGACCCAUGUGCCUGCGCAUGGAGCCUACACUCUGUAUGGAGGCUUUGGACCCCUAAAUCCAGAACCGUCACCUUCCUAAGGCCUCUGCAGUCUAAACGAGGGUGGCUAUUCAGGUCCUGCUCCCAGGUAAGUGGGAGACAGGGAUGUGUGUUUGAGCAUUCUGGUUGUAGAGCCUAGAAUGAGUCAUCCACAGACCCAGAAUGCUCUCAGUUAGGUCACUAUCCACAUUCUUAAUUGAAGGGGAUUUCAAGAAUCAGCCUUUCUGUGGUAUAGAAGGCAAAGCCAAGAAACAGAGAGGAUGAUGGGGUCACUGAAGGCCACACAGCAAGCGUGGGCCAGAGCUGACCAAGAGCUCCAGUGGACCUGCCAUCCAGCUCUUCUUACUGCCUGACUCAACACUCUCAUUUCUUCAGAAGCCUCACUGGAAACCUCACUCCAGAGCUUUCCUGUUCAGAGAAAGCAGCAAACAAAGUGUAGAGCCAGCCCCCUGGGCCUAGAGCCCUGAGCUCCCUGAGCAGACCCACAGGCUGACAGAGACGUUACCGGAGCUGAUGAUUCAACUUCCUGCCUUUUGAGAGCGCCCAGACCACAGAGGUUUUCUUGCUUGGAGGAGGGGGGCAUCUCCCUGCCUUGGGCCAGGCAGAGCGGGUCAAGUCUCUACCACAAACCACAGGGACUAGGCAGUGCGUGGGGCAGGCCGUAGGGGGUCAUGCUAGAACCCUGACUGGUGCCUCCUGAAGCCUGUCUCCUCUUUGGAUUAAUGAUUACCACCUAGGGUGACCAACCAUCCUGUUUCCCUUGAAUCUGUCCUGAUGUUAGCACCAAAAAUCCCACAUCCUGGGAAACCCCUCAGCCCUGGGCAAACCAGAACAGUUGGUCACUGUAUUAUCACCCAUAUUUCAGGAGGAUUUGACUUAACACCUCAGUGACUUGGGGAGUAUGGGCCCUAGGACAGCACAUUCUAGAACGGAAUUGACAAACUAUGGCCUAAGGGUCUGAUCUGGUCUAGUGCCUAUUUUUGUAAAGCCCAUGAGCUAAGAACAGUUUUUACAUUUUUUAAUGGUUGAAAAUAAAUUUUUUUUUAAUUUUUAUUUAUUUAUGAUAGUCACAGAGAGAGAGAGAGAGAGAGAGGCAGAGACACAGGCAGAGGGAGAAGCAGGCUCCAUGCACCGGGAGCCCGACGUGGGAUUCGAUCCCUGGUCUCCAGGAUCGCGCCCUGGGCCAAAGGCAGGCGCCAAACCGCUGCGCCACCCAGGGAUCCCUGAAAAUAAAAUUUUUAAAAAAUAUUUUAUUUAUUUGACAGAGAGUAAGAACCAGAGAGAU